RNAcentral lists this ribosomal RNA (495 nucleotides) under uncultured bacterium. RNAcentral's name for it is "partial 16S ribosomal RNA". It matches the Rfam family "Bacterial small subunit ribosomal RNA", at positions 28 to 507 of the family's 1533-position model. The record is from RNAcentral.
GACGAACGCUGGCGGCGUGCCUAAUACAUGCAAGUAGAACGCUGAAGGAGGAGCUUGCUUCUCUGGAUGAGUUGCGAACGGGUGAGUAACGCGUAGGUAACCUGCCUGGUAGCGGGGGAUAACUAUUGGAAACGAUAGCUAAUACCGCAUAAUAGUAGAUGUCGCAUGACAUUUGCUUAAAAGGUGCAAUUGCAUCACUACCAGAUGGACCUGCGUUGUAUUAGCUAGUUGGUGAGGUAACGGCUCACCAAGGCAACGAUACAUAGCCGACCUGAGAGGGGGAUCGGCCACACUGGGACUGAGACACGGCCCAGACGCCUACGGGAGGCAGCAGUAGGGAAUCGUCGGCAAUGGACGGAAGUCUGACCGAGCAACGCCGCGGGAGUGAAGAAGGUUUUCGGAUCGUAAAGCUCGGUUGUAAGAGAAGAACGAGUGUGAGAGUGGAAAGUUCACACUGUGACGGUAUCUUACCAGAAAGGGACGGCUAACUACGUG